Daphnia pulicaria is the source of this 1437-nucleotide long non-coding RNA. RefSeq lists it as uncharacterized. The transcript is spliced from 4 exons. Lineage: Eukaryota; Metazoa; Arthropoda; Branchiopoda; Diplostraca; Daphniidae. The record is from RefSeq and is a predicted model, not a curated record.
AGUUCUACUGUCGCAUACAAAGAAAUUUUUUUGAAUUUAAAAUAUUGGGGAUCUAUUGUCGGUGGGUGGAGUUCUACGGUCGCCAUAACGGCGGAUUGUCCCCCCAUCCGCCAGGUGACGCGAGUGUCUUCGUGAGGAAGAAAUAUUUGCCAUUUGUUUCCGAGACGCUUGACUUUAAAGUGUAUUCAAAAUUCAUUACGGAAUUGAGGUGUCGAUCUACAUUUUCAGCCAUUCAGUGCAGAAACACUUCAGAGCUAUUGAUUUUCAGGUUGGAAAUGGAGAUCUGUUUGCUCAACUGUUGCAGAAAUUUAGAACACGACAAAGUCUGAGCUUCAUGGAGUGUGGCAGCUGGCUGGAGCUGGUGAAAGGUGUGAUCGAGUCAUGGUUGAGUUGCAGCUUCUGCAUGCAGUUUAUCGAGCUGUUGCUAUCCCAAGUGUAACCGCAGGAAAACUUCUUGAAUUGCCAGGUGAAGUCUGCGCUACUUUGUUGCUGUCUAGUGUGUGCAUGGAUUCGUUUUGCAGUCAUCCAGUGAAAGGUGUGAUAAAAUUGAGCUGUUGCAUGCAGUCUUUGGUGCUGAUGUUGUCCUGGAGUGUGGGAGAGUCCCAUGCUUCAAGUCUUCUGGGAUCAGCCGUAUCUGAGUUGACGCUGGAUCAUGCUGCAUUGUGGUUGCCGAAAUGUUGGACAUCUAGUAGAACUGCAAGAAGACUCCUUAAAAUGGUUUAUGUUUACGUAGCAGUGAUGUUGCUGUCCAAUAUGGCAUGUUGUUGCAGCCUAUACUGGUGAAAGAUUUUUUGCAUCGAGUUAUGCUGUUGCUGUUCCUUGGUGCCGGACUGCUGGUGUUGUGCACACAUUUGUGUCUAUGCAGUUAACCGUUUAUAUGUUGAAAAGGAACAGAAAAGUUCCUUGGUGUUGAAUCGCUGGUGUUGUGCUACAUAAGUUACAUCACAGUGUUUUGUUUAAUUGCUAUUUGCGUCGAUGAAGUUGACCGUUUAUAUGUUGAGAAUGAAAAAAAAAUAGUAAUAUGGGGAAUUUUUACGUUGAACAAAUAAUAAACAUGCCUUCGCGAUUGGAAAACCAGCGAGGAGGAGAUUGGGGGGGGGGGGCAAUUGAUUUUCAUUAACUAGAAGAAGUCGUGGUUUGUUAUAAUAAGGUAGAAAUGAAAUCUUUUGUCUAUCACAUCUAUAUAACCACAUCUAUUCCUCCAACCCCAUAACUUCCACCAACAUCCAUUCCUUACACCCCAUAACUUCCACCAACAUCCAUUCCUUACACCCCAUAACUUCCACCAACAUCCAUUCCUUACACCCCAUAACUUCCACCAACAUCUAUUCCUUACACCCCAUAACUUCCACCAACAUCUAUUCCUUAAACCCCCAAUUCCCCACAAGUAUUUGUAAUAUGUAAAUUAAACUGUUGAAUUAAUAAACCAUUUAUAUA